Molecule: long non-coding RNA, 456 nt
Organism: Bactrocera dorsalis (oriental fruit fly)
Lineage: Eukaryota; Metazoa; Arthropoda; Insecta; Diptera; Tephritidae
Exons: 3
Source: RefSeq, a predicted model, not a curated record
ACCAAAUUAUAUGCCACAUACGACUGCAUUCUUAGUACGAAAUAAGAAUUAGCCAUGCGAAGCAGUCUUUCAUAAUUUUCUUUACUAUUAUUAUUAAAAUAAAGUAGUUAAGCAUUUUCGUUAAAAACUACAACGGGUUAAAAAAACGUACGCUGCAGUUGUAGAAAACAUCACAACACAUUUGUGAGGAAAAAAUUCUGAGGUUUGUUGUGAGGUUAUUCUUACUCAAAACCCACAAGAAAAAAGACCAAAAAACUCAGCACAUGAGGUGAAAAGCACUUUGCUUUGAACCAGCUGUUUUACGUAAAAUGACAACUAAAAAAAGAUUUCAAAUUAUGAAAGGACAUUUCAGGAGAAGCUCCAGCGUUACAGAAUAUUAUUUUCGCACAUGUAUUAAAUAUAUACAUACAUAAAUAUUUAAAAAAUUAAAUUUUGUAUGAAUUAUUUAAAAAUAAA